This 91-nucleotide non-coding RNA is filed under the name unclassified sequences. RNAcentral describes it as "NiCo sequence". It matches the Rfam family "NiCo (Nickel/Cobalt) riboswitch aptamer". The record is from RNAcentral.
AAAGGUGCAUUGGAACAGGCGCUCCCCUUUCGAGGGAGGCGGCCGGGCUCCGUAGAGGGCAGCGGUGGCUGGACAGUCCCGUGGGACCAGA